CAGUAGCCGCGGUAAUACGUAGGGUGCAAGCGUUAAUCGGAAUUACUGGGCGUAAAGCGUGCGUAGGUGGUGGUUUAAGUCCGUUGUGAAAGCCCUGGGCUCAACCUGGGAAUUGCAGUGGAUACUGGAUCACUAGAGUGUGGUAGAGGAUAGUGGAAUUUCCGGUGUAGCAGUGAAAUGCGUAGAGAUCGGAAGGAACAUCUGUGGCGAAGGCGACUAUCUGGUCUGGCAUUGACGCUCAUGUGCGAAAGCGUGGGGAGCAAACAGGAUUAGAUACCCCUGUAGUCCCUGUCUCUUAUAC
RNAcentral lists this ribosomal RNA (301 nucleotides) under uncultured bacterium. RNAcentral describes it as "partial 16S ribosomal RNA". It matches the Rfam family "Bacterial small subunit ribosomal RNA", at positions 509 to 807 of the family's 1533-position model. The record is from RNAcentral.